GUCCACUUACUCAAGUUGGUGAAGAGGAAAGUUUGCUAAAUUUUUAGGUCAAGUAAUUGAUGCAGAGGUUCGAGCCCUCUAGUGGACG
This 88-nucleotide transfer RNA is filed under the name Bacteriophage sp. Its description in RNAcentral is "tRNA-Ser". It matches the Rfam family "tRNA". From Rfam's summary of the family: Transfer RNA (tRNA) molecules are approximately 80 nucleotides in length. Their secondary structure includes four short double-helical elements and three loops (D, anti-codon, and T loops). Further hydrogen bonds mediate the characteristic L-shaped molecular structure. tRNAs have two regions of fundamental functional importance: the anti-codon, which is responsible for specific mRNA codon recognition, and the 3' end, to which the tRNAs corresponding amino acid is attached (by aminoacyl-tRNA synthetases). tRNAs cope with the degeneracy of the genetic code in two manners: having more than one tRNA (with a specific anti-codon) for a particular amino acid; and 'wobble' base-pairing, i.e. permitting non-standard base-pairing at the 3rd anti-codon position. The record is from RNAcentral.